ACAGGGAUUGCCCUAGUAACGGCGAGUGAAGCGGCAACAGCUCAAAUUUGAAAUCUGGCGUCUUCGGCGUCCGAGUUGUAAUUUGCAGAGGGCGCUUUGGCAUUGGCAGCGGUCCAAGUUCCUUGGAACAGGACGUCACAGAGGGUGAGAAUCCCGUACGUGGUCGCUAGCCUUUACCGUGUAAAGCCCCUUCGACGAGUCGAGUUGUUUGGGAAUGCAGCUCUAAAUGGGAGGUAAAUUUCUUCUAAAGCUAAAUACUGGCCAGAGACCGAUAGCGCACAAGUAGAGUGAUCGAAAGAUGAAAAGCACUUUGGAAAGAGAGUUAAAAAGCACGUGAAAUUGUUGAAAGGGAAGCGCUUGCAGCCAGACUUGCCUGUAGUUGCUCAUCCGGGUUUCUACCCGGUGCACUCUUCUAUAGGCAGGCCAGCAUCAGUUUGGGCGGUUGGAUAAAGGUCUCUGUCAUGUACCUCUCUUCGGGGAGAACUUAUAGGGGAGACGACAUGCAACCAGCCUGGACUGAGGUCCGCGCAUCUGCUAGGAUGCUGGCGUAAUGGCUGUAAGCGGCCCGUCUUGAAACACGGACCAAGGAGUCUAACAUCUAUGCGAGUGUUUGGGUGUCAAGCCCGAGCGCGUAAUGAAAGUGAACGGAGGUGGGAACCUUUCGGGGUGCACCAUCGACCGAUCCUGAUGUCUUCGGAUGGAUUUGAGUAAGAGCAUAGCUGUUGGGACCCGAAAGAUGGUGAACUAUGCUUGAAUAGGGUGAAGCCAGAGGAAACUCUGGUGGAGGCUCGCAGCGGUUCUGACGUGCAAAUCGAUCGUCAAAUUUGGGCAUAGGGGCGAAAGACUAAUCGAACUAUCUAGUAGCUGGUUCCUGCCGAAGUUUCCCUCAGGAUAGCAGUAACGUUUUCAGUUUUAUGAGGUAAAGCGAAUGAUUAAAGGCCUGGGGGUUGAAACAACCUUCACCUAUUCUCAAACUUUAAAUAUGUAAGAAGUCCUUGUUACUUGAUUGAACGUGGACAGUUGAAUGUAUCGUUACUAGUGGGCCAUUUUUGGUAAGCAGAACUGGCGAUGCGGGAUGAACCGAACGCGGGGUUAAGGUGCCAGAAUGCACGCUCAUCAGACACCACAAAAGGUGUUAGUUCAUCUAGACAGCAGGACGGUGGCCAUGGAAGUCGGAAUCCGCUAAGGAGUGUGUAACAACUCACCUGCCGAAUGAACUAGCCCUGAAAAUGGAUGGCGCUCAAGCGUGUUACCCAUACCCCGCCGCUGGGGCAGGAUUUAUGCCCCAGCGAGUAGGCAGGCGUGGAGGUCCGUGACGAAGCCUU
RNAcentral lists this ribosomal RNA (1325 nucleotides) under Didymella glomerata. RNAcentral's name for it is "partial large subunit ribosomal RNA". It matches the Rfam family "Eukaryotic large subunit ribosomal RNA", at positions 68 to 1412 of the family's 3401-position model. The record is from RNAcentral. Lineage: Eukaryota; Fungi; Ascomycota; Dothideomycetes; Pleosporales; Didymellaceae.